UCUUCAUUUCUCGUAUUCUCUCGCCAGUCAGAGAGGCUAGAUAGUGUGGGAAAUGAAGAGA
RNAcentral lists this microRNA precursor (61 nucleotides) under Pristionchus pacificus. Its description in RNAcentral is "mir-8364 microRNA precursor family". It matches the Rfam family "mir-8364 microRNA precursor family". Lineage: Eukaryota; Metazoa; Nematoda; Chromadorea; Rhabditida; Neodiplogasteridae. The record is from Rfam by way of RNAcentral.